Fukomys damarensis (Damara mole-rat) is the source of this 1674-nucleotide RNA transcript. It is a transcript of the gene named chibby family member 1, beta catenin antagonist, with no coding region annotated. The transcript has 6 exons. NCBI's taxonomy places the organism in Eukaryota, Metazoa, Chordata, Mammalia, Rodentia, Bathyergidae. The record is from RefSeq and is a predicted model, not a curated record.
GGUACAGUCCGAGGCGGGGUCGCGCAUGCGCACGACGAGCAGGUAACGGCAAGCUGCUGGGCCAAGUUGCUAGGGGUCCUUCUGGGUCCUUGCUGGCAUCCAGGGAUUGACUUUGAUCCUGGCUUCUGGGACGCGACAGCAAGCAAGAUGCCUCUCUUUGGGAAUAUCUUCAGUCCGAAGAAGACACCUCCCCGGAAGUCGGCUUCCCUGUCUAACCUGCAGACCUUGGAUCGCUCAAUCCGGGAUGUGGAGCUGGGCCUCAACUAUGGAACCCCCACAAUGAACUUGGCGGGGCAGAGCCUGAAGUUUGAAAAGGGCCAGUGGAUAGCAGAGGCCGGGAUCAGUGGGGGUGUGGACCAGAGGGAGGCCCAGCGCCUCCGCAGGCGGAACCAGCAGCUGGAGGAAGAGAACAAUCUCCUGCGGUUGAAAGUGGACAUCCUGCUAGAUAUGCUUUCAGAGACCACUGCUGAAUGCCACUUAAUGGAGAAGGAACUGGACAAACUGAAGAGUGUCAGUCGGAGAAGGAAAUAAGACCCCGAGAUGCUGGUUAGGAGCAGGGAGAAUCCCACCUUAGCGGGGAAGUAGGGUGAAACGGAGCAGUUUGGUUUUUAGCAAAAGUAGUAGAUUUGGCCCCGGAGCGAGCAACAACAGGCAUUGGCACCCUUUCUUGGCAGAAGGAAGGUGGCACAGGAUGGAGGAAGCCAGGAAGCCAGGGCAGUGGCUGGGAUGCCAGUCUGCAAGCCGAGGGGGUUGGUGAGCGUCGGAUGCAAUGGCGAGAGUCCCCACUACCCUGUGGCACAGAUGCUGUUGGGAGCUGCAGCUGAACUCCAUCAUCUCCCCCCUUACGCUGGGCUUGAGGGUGGCACUAGUUCUACCGCCACAUUUAGGGGUCUGGGCUCCUCUGGCUUCAGCUUCCCAGCAACAAGCGCCAGCCUUCCAAAGCAACGCCAUUUUUGUGCUGCUUUCCUGUUUAUACUAUUUCUUUUUUAUUAAAUGAUGCUGAAUAAUCUCUCUGUGGCCAAAAUGACUGCUAAAAAGCAUGGGUUCCUAAAGAAGUAACAGGAAAGACCAAACGGUCAGGGGAUGAUACAGCUUUCCUGUUCCCCAGAGGAAGUGACCCGGAAGUGAAAUCAUAUCUGUGUGGUCAGAUUCUUUUGCCCUCCUGCUUUGGAGAGUGUAACUGACCUAGCCCAGCAGGGAUCAGAGGUUGGCACAGGAAUUCCUACCUGAGUCAGUGUGAGCCGGGUCUCCAUGUGGAGGGGAACCCAGUGGUCUUGGUACAGGCACAGAGCCCAGGUGUCUCAGCCACAAUGCAUGCCUGGUACCAAAGUCUUUUGCACACACCAUCUCCUUGCUCCCAACAUAGACCUGUGCAGCAAGACUGUCAGCAUGACUAUCGGCAGGUAAGGAGUCAGACAGUGCAGGGAUCACAUGGCAGGGCGCUAGAGCGUGCUAGUUCACAGCCCGCAAGACAGACAGGGUCUUGCUAAGUUGCUGAAUUGACCAGGCUGGGCUUGACUUUGGAGUCUCCUGUCUCAGCGUCCAGGAUGCUGGGACUAUUGAGGCAUAUGCUACUGCAGCUGGUUCAAAUGUGGGAGAGCCUUGGAGCGUCUGUAAGAUUCUCAAAGGGGCCUAUCUGACCCCAUCUCAAAAAUAAAAAGGGCUGAGGAUAUA